Molecule: ribosomal RNA, 229 nt
Filed under: uncultured bacterium
Lineage: Bacteria
Description: partial 16S ribosomal RNA
Rfam family: Bacterial small subunit ribosomal RNA
Source: RNAcentral
GACGAACGCUGGCGGCGUGCUUAACACAUGCAAGUCGAGCGGUAAGGCCCUUUCGGGGGUACACGAGCGGCGAACGGUGAGUAACACGUGGGUGACCUGCCCUCGAGCUCUGGGAUAAGCCUGGGAAACCGGGUCUAAUACCGGAUAUGACUCCGAUGACGCAUGUUGUGGGGUGGAAAGCCUUGUGCGGCUGAGGAUGGGCCCGCGGCCUAUCAGCUUGUUGUGGGGU